This 221-nucleotide ribosomal RNA is filed under the name uncultured bacterium. RNAcentral describes it as "partial 16S ribosomal RNA". It matches the Rfam family "Bacterial small subunit ribosomal RNA", at positions 96 to 334 of the family's 1533-position model. The record is from RNAcentral.
UGGCAAACGGGUGAGGAACACGUGGGAAUCUACCCAUCAGUACGGAAUAACAUUUGGAAACAAAUGCUAAUACCGUAUAUACUCUACGGAGGAAAGAUUUAUCGCUGAUGGAUGAGCCCGCGUCAGAUUAGGUAGUUGGUGGGGUAAUGGCCUACCAAGCCGACGAUCUGUAGCUGGUCUGAGAGGAUGAUCAGCCACACUGGGACUGAGACACGGCCCAG